CCUACGGGAGGCAGCAGUGGGGAAUAUUGGACAAUGGGCGCAAGCCUGAUGCAGCAAUACCGCGUGUGUGAAGAAGGCCUGCGGGUUGUAAAGCACUUUCAAUUGUGAGGAAAAGCUUUUGGUUAAUAGCCUUGAGUCUUGACGUUAGCAAUACAAGAAGCACCGGCUAACUCCGUGCCAGCAGCCGCGGUAAU
RNAcentral lists this ribosomal RNA (194 nucleotides) under uncultured bacterium. RNAcentral describes it as "partial 16S ribosomal RNA". It matches the Rfam family "Bacterial small subunit ribosomal RNA", at positions 338 to 524 of the family's 1533-position model. The record is from RNAcentral.